RNAcentral lists this ribosomal RNA (253 nucleotides) under uncultured bacterium. Its description in RNAcentral is "partial 16S ribosomal RNA". It matches the Rfam family "Bacterial small subunit ribosomal RNA", at positions 524 to 776 of the family's 1533-position model. The record is from RNAcentral.
UACAGAGGUCCCGAGCGUUGUUCGGAUUCACUGGGCGUAAAGGGUGCGUAGGUGGCUUGAAAAGUUUGAUGUGAAAGCUCAGGGCUUAACCCUGAAAUGGCAUUGAAUACUGUCGAGCUGGAGGUUUGGAGGGGGGACUGGAAUUCUUGGUGUAGCAGUGAAAUGCGUAGAUAUCAAGAGGAACACCAGUGGCGAAGGCGGAUCUCUGGGCCUUACCUGACGCUCAGGUACGAAAGCUAGGGGAGCGAACAGG